CCAAUAGCGUAUAUUAAAGUUGUUGCAGUUAAAAAGCUCGUAGUUGAAUUUCGAGAUCGGCUUACUGGUCGUGCUUUUGUACGUACUGGUAAAUCGGUUUCUCCUUUCUGACGAACUUUAAUGCCAUUAAUUUGGUGUUUUAGGGAAUCAGGACUGUUACUUUGAAAAAAUUAGAGUGUUUAAAGCAGGCUCACGCUUGAAUACAUUAGCAUGGAAUAACGGAAUAGGACGUUUGAUUCUAUUUUGUUGGUUUCUAGGAUCGACGUAAUGAUUAAUAGGGAUAGUUGGGGGCAUUAGUAUUCAAUUGCCAGAGGUGAAAUUCUUGGAUUUAUUGAAGACUAACUACUGCGAAAGCAUUUGCCAAGGAUGUUUUCAUUAAUCAAGAACGAAAGUUAGGGGAUCGAAGACGAUCAGAUACCGUCGUAGUCUUAACCAUAAACUAUGCCGACUAGGGAUCGGAUGAUGUUAAUUUUUUAAUGACUCAUUCGGCGCCUUACG
RNAcentral lists this unclassified non-coding RNA (498 nucleotides) under uncultured Glomus. RNAcentral's name for it is "SSU rRNA". It matches the Rfam family "Eukaryotic small subunit ribosomal RNA", at positions 591 to 1092 of the family's 1831-position model. Lineage: Eukaryota; Fungi; Glomeromycota; Glomeromycetes; Glomerales; Glomeraceae. The record is from RNAcentral.